RNAcentral lists this ribosomal RNA (428 nucleotides) under Chloroflexota bacterium. RNAcentral's name for it is "Chloroflexi bacterium partial 16S ribosomal RNA". It matches the Rfam family "Bacterial small subunit ribosomal RNA", at positions 355 to 775 of the family's 1533-position model. Lineage: Bacteria; Bacillati; Chloroflexota. The record is from RNAcentral.
UGGGGAAUAUUGCACAAUGGGCGCAAGCCUGAUGCAGCCAUGCCGCGUGUAUGAAGAAGGCCUUCGGGUUGUAAAGUACUUUCAGCGGGGAGGAAGGGAGUAAAGUUAAUACCUUUGCUCAUUGACAUUACCCGCAGAAGAAGCACCGGCUAACUCCGUGCCAGCAGCCGCGGUAAUACGGAGGGUGCAAGCGUUAAUCGGAAUUACUGGGCGUAAAGCGCACGCAGGCGGUUUGUUAAGUCAGAUGUGAAAUCCCCGGGCUCAACCUGGGAACUGCAUCUGAUACUGGCAAGCUUGAGUCUCGUAGAGGGGGGUAGAAUUCCAGGUGUAGCGGUGAAAUGCGUAGAGAUCUGGAGGAAUACCGGUGGCGAAGGCGGCCCCCUGGACGAAGACUGACGCUCAGGUGCGAAAGCGUGGGGAGCAAACAG